This is a non-coding RNA of Cytidiella melzeri, 82 nucleotides long. NCBI's taxonomy places the organism in Eukaryota, Fungi, Basidiomycota, Agaricomycetes, Polyporales, Irpicaceae. The record is from the annotation of a GenBank genome assembly.
GGCGUGGUGGCGUAGUGGUUAUCGCACCGGACCUUGCACCCCCUCCAGUGCAGGGCGUUCGGUUCGAUCCCCACUCACGCCA